AAACUGAAACGAAGCGUCCGCCCCCUCGCGACCCGUUCGCGGAGCGCGCGGGGGACCGGCCGUCUAUCUAAAUGUCAUAACGACUCUCGGCAACGGAUAUCUCGGCUCUCGCAUCGAUGAAGAACGUAGCGAAAUGCGAUACUUGGUGUGAAUUGCAGAAUCCCGUGAACCAUCGAGUCUUUGAACGCAAGUUGCGCCCGAAGCCGUCAGGCCGAGG
This 217-nucleotide ribosomal RNA is filed under the name Nepeta laxiflora. RNAcentral's name for it is "5.8S ribosomal RNA". The stretch from base 82 to 217 matches the Rfam family "5.8S ribosomal RNA", at positions 1 to 134 of the family's 154-position model. From Rfam's summary of the family: 5.8S ribosomal RNA (5.8S rRNA) is a component of the large subunit of the eukaryotic ribosome. The record is from RNAcentral. Lineage: Eukaryota; Viridiplantae; Streptophyta; Magnoliopsida; Lamiales; Lamiaceae.